This is a non-coding RNA of Stegodyphus mimosarum, 73 nucleotides long. Lineage: Eukaryota; Metazoa; Arthropoda; Arachnida; Araneae; Eresidae. The record is from Rfam.
GCCUUCGUGGUGUAGUGGUCUGCAUGCUCAACGCGUAACCGGGAGGUCCGUGGUUCGAUUCCCGGCGAAGGCG